Molecule: ribosomal RNA, 332 nt
Filed under: uncultured bacterium
Lineage: Bacteria
Description: SSU rRNA
Rfam family: Bacterial small subunit ribosomal RNA
Source: RNAcentral
AGGAUGAACGCUGGCGGUGUGCCUAAUACAUGCAAGUCGAGCGGUAAGGUCCCUUCGGGGAUACACGAGCGGCGGACGGCUGAGUAACGCGUGGGAACGUACCCCAAAGUGAGGGAUAAGCACCAGAAAAUGGUGUCUAAUACCGCAUAUGCUCUAAGGAGUAAAGCUUCGGCGCUUUGGGAACGGCCUGCGUCUGAUUAGCUUGUUGGUGAGGUAAAAGCUCACCAAGGCGACGAUCAGUAGCUGGUCUGAGAGGAUGACCAGCCAGACUGGGACUGAGAACGGCCCAGACUCCUACGGGAGGCAGCAGUAGGGAAUUUUCCACAAUGGGC